AGCCAUAUCACAUUGAAACAUUGGUUCCUGUAUGAUCACCAAAGUUAAGCAACUUCAAGCCUGGUUAGUACCUAUUUGGGUUACUGCUUUGGAAUACCAGGUGCUGUAAG
Non-coding RNA from Acanthosepion pharaonis, 110 nucleotides. The record is from the annotation of a GenBank genome assembly. NCBI's taxonomy places the organism in Eukaryota, Metazoa, Mollusca, Cephalopoda, Sepiida, Sepiidae.